GUUAUAUGGUCAAGUGAAUAAGUGCAUACGACGGAUGCCUUGGCAUUAGAAGGCGAUGAAGGACGCGACAAUCUGCGAUAAGCUUCGGUUAGCUGAUAAUAAGCAUUAUUAGCCGGAGAUCUCCGAAUGGGAAAACCCAGCCAUCAUCAGAUGGUUAUCCUUAACUGAAUACAUAGGUUAAGGAGGCAAACCUAGGGAACUGAAACAUCUAAGUACCUAGAGGAAAAGAAAUCAACCGAGAUUCCCUUAGUAGCGGCGAGCGAACGGGGACCAGCCCUUAAGCCUAUUUUAAAUUACUAGAAUGUUCUGGAAAGUUCAACGAUACAGGGUGAUAGUCCCGUAUAGGAAAAUUUAAUUUAGGUGAAAUCGAGUAAGGCGGCGCACGUGAAACGCUGUUUGAAUAUGGGGGGACCACCCUCCAAGGCUAAAUACUCUCUAAUGACCGAUAGUGAACAAGUACCGUGAGGGAAAGGCGAAAAGAACCCCGGGAGGGGAGUGAAAUAGAACCUGAAAUCGUAUGCAUACAAGCAGUAGGAGCGGAUUUAUUCCGUGACUGCGUACCUUUUGUAUAAUGGGUCAGCGACUUACUUCUCAGUAGCAAGGUUAACCAUUAGGGGAGCCGUAGGGAAACCGAGUCUUAAAUGGGCGAUUAGUUGCUGGGAGUAGACCCGAAACCGGGUGAUCUAUCCAUGGUCAGGGUGAAGGUUAGGUAAAACUAACUGGAGGCCCGAACCCACCUAUGUUGAAAAAUGGGGGGAUGAACUGUGGAUAGGGGUGAAAGGCCAAACAAACCCGGAGAUAGCUGGUUCUCUCCGAAAUCUAUUUAGGUAGAGCGUCAUGUAUUACUUCAGGGGGUAGAGCACUGUUAUGGCUAGCGGGUCGUCAAGACUUAGUAAACCAUUGCAAACUCCGAAUACCUGAAAGUAUGAGCAUGGCAGACACACUGCGGGUGCUAACGUCCGUAGUGGAAAGGGAAACAACCCAGACCGUCAGCUAAGGUCCCAAAAUUGUAGUUAAGUGGGAAACGAUGUGAAAAGGCCCAGACAGCCAGGAGGUUGGCUUAGAAGCAGCCAUUCCUUUAAAGAGUGCGUAAUAGCUCACUGGUCGAGUCGGUUUGCGCGGAAGAUUUAACGGGGCUAAAACUACAUACCGAAGCUACGGAUCACAAUUUAUUGUGAUGGUAGGAGAGCGUUCUGUAAGCCGUUGAAGGUGUCCUGUGAGGGAUGCUGGAGGUAUCAGAAGUGCGAAUGCUGACAUGAGUAACGAUAAAGGGGGUGAAAAACCCCCUCGCCAGAAGUCCAAGGUUUCCUACGCAACGCUAAUCGGCGUAGGGUUAGUCGGCCCCUAAGGCGAGGCAGAAAUGCGUAGUCGAUGGGAAACAGGUUAAUAUUCCUGUACUUCAUAUAACUGCGAUGGGAAGACGGAGAAGGUUAGCGCAGCAAGGCGAUGGUUGUCCUUGUUUAAGCGUGUAGAUUGGCUAUUAGGAAAAUCCGGUAGCCUUUAUUCAAGGCGUGAUGACGAUCCCUUUCUUAGGAUUGGGAGAAGUGCGUGAUACCAUGCUUCCAGGAAAAUCCUCUAAGCUUCAGGUUAUAUGAAACCGUACCCCAAACCGACACAGGUGGACGAGAUGAGAAUUCUAAGGCGCUUGAGAGAACUCGGGUGAAGGAACUAGGCAAAAUGACACCGUAACUUCGGGAGAAGGUGUGCUCUUGCCGGUGAUUUUACUUGCUAAAUGAGCUGGUAAGAGUUGAAGAUACCAGGUGGCUCCGACUGUUUAUUAAAAACACAGCACUCUGCAAACACGUAAGUGGACGUAUAGGGUGUGACGCCUGCCCGGUGCUUGAAGGUUAAUUGAUGAGGUUAGGAUUUAUCCGAAGCUUUUGAUCGAAGCCCAAGUAAACGGCGGCCGUAACUAUAACGGUCCUAAGGUAGCGAAAUUCCUUGUCGGGUAAGUUCCGACCUGCACGAAUGGCGUAACGAGGGCCACACUGUCUCCACCCGAGACUCAGUGAAAUUGAAAUUGCUGUUAAGAUGCAGUAUACCCGCGGCCAGACGGAAAGACCCCGUGCACCUUUACUACAGCUUUGCAUUGAACUCUGAUCCUACCUGUGUAGGAUAGGUGGGAGGCUUUGAAACCCUGACGCUAGUUGGGGUGGAGCCACCCUUGAAAUACCACCCUGGUAUGGUUGGGGUUCUAACCUUGGUCCAUUAUCUGGAUUGGGGACAAUGCAUGGUGGGUAGUUUGACUGGGGCGGUCUCCUCCUAAAGAGUAACGGAGGAGCGCAAAGGUACCCUCAGCACGGUCGGACAUCGUGCAAUGAGCGCAAAGGUAAAAGGGUGCUUGACUGCGAGACUGACACGUCGAGCAGGUAGGAAACUAGGUCUUAGUGAUCCGGUGGUUCUGAGUGGAAGGACCAUCGCUCAACGGAUAAAAGGUACGCCGGGGAUAACAGGCUGAUACCGCCCAAGAGUUCACAUCGACGGCGGUGUUUGGCACCUCGAUGUCGGCUCAUCACAUCCUGGGGCUGAAGCAGGUCCCAAGGGUAUGGCUGUUCGCCAUUUAAAGUGGUACGCGAGCUGGGUUUAGAACGUCGUGAGACAGUUCGGUCCCUAUCUACCGUGGGCGUUGGAGACUUGAGGGAAGCUGUUCUUAGUACGAGAGGACCGGAAUGGACACACCUCUGGUGUUUCGGUUGUGACGCCAGUCGCAUUGCCGAGUAGCUAUGUGUGGAAAGGAUAACCGCUGAAAGCAUCUAAGCGGGAAGCCCCUCCCAAGAUUAGGUCUCCCUGGAUAUUUAAUAUCCCUAAAGAUCCCUCGAAGACUACGAGGUUGAUAGGCAGGGUGUGGAAGUGUAGUGAUACAUGAAGCUAACCUGUACUAAUUGAUCGUGAGGCUUGACCAUAUAACACCCAA
Molecule: ribosomal RNA, 2914 nt
Filed under: Candidatus Thioglobus sp.
Lineage: Bacteria; Pseudomonadati; Pseudomonadota; Gammaproteobacteria; Pseudothioglobaceae (SeqCode)
Description: 23S ribosomal RNA
Rfam family: Bacterial large subunit ribosomal RNA
Source: RNAcentral